AACGUAGGAUCCGAGCGUUAUCCGAAUUUACUGGGCGUAAAGCGCGUGCAGGCGGUUCGGUAAGUUGGAUGUGAAAUCUCCCGGCUCAACUGGGAGAGGUCGUUCAAUACUGUCGGACUAGAGGAUGGUAGAGGGAGGUGGAAUUCCCGGUGUAGUGGUGAAAUGCGUAGAUAUCGGGAGGAACACCAGUGGCGAAGGCGGCCUCCUGGGCCAUUCCUGACGCUAAGACGCGAAAGCUAGGGGAG
Molecule: ribosomal RNA, 245 nt
Filed under: uncultured Anaerolineaceae bacterium
Lineage: Bacteria; Bacillati; Chloroflexota; Anaerolineae; Anaerolineales; Anaerolineaceae
Description: partial 16S ribosomal RNA
Rfam family: Bacterial small subunit ribosomal RNA
Source: RNAcentral